AGCGAACGCUGGCGGUAGGCCUAACACAUGCAAGUCGAACGGAAGCACAGUGAGAGCUUGCGCUUACGGGUGGCGAGUGGCGGAAGGGUGAGGAAUGCAUCGGACUCUACUUUUUCGUGGGGGAUAACGUAGGGAAAGCUACUCUAAUACCGCAUACGACGUACGGGUGAAAGCAGGGGAUCGUUUGACCUGUCGCGAUUGGAUGUGCCGAUGUCGGAUUAGGUAGUUGGCGGGGUAAAGGCCCACCAAGGCGACGAUACGUAGCUGGUCUGAGAGGAUGGUUCGCCACCCUGGAAGUGAGACAGAGUCCAGACUUCUAAGGGAGGCAGCAGUGGGGAAUAUUGGCCAAUGGGCGGAAGCCUGAUCCAGCCAUACCGCGUGGGGGCAGAAGGCCUUCGGGUUGGAAAGCCCUUUUGUUGGGAGAGAAAAGAAGCUGUUUAAUACCCCGCUGUUCUGACGGUACCCAAAGAAUAAGCACCGGCUAACUUCGUG
This 492-nucleotide ribosomal RNA is filed under the name uncultured bacterium. RNAcentral's name for it is "partial 16S ribosomal RNA". It matches the Rfam family "Bacterial small subunit ribosomal RNA", at positions 29 to 507 of the family's 1533-position model. The record is from RNAcentral.